UUAAGUUCAGCGGGUAUUCCUACCUGAUUCGAGGUCAACCUUUUAGAUACUGGGGCGUUUUACGGCAGGGGACCGGUCCAACUAUAGGCGAGGUGAGUAAUUACUACGUCUAGAGUGUGAGCCGGCUCCGCCACUGACUUUGGGGAGCUACGGUGCCGUAGGCUCCCAACGCUAAGCAACAAGGGCUUAAGGGUUGAAAU
Molecule: unclassified non-coding RNA, 200 nt
Filed under: Ascomycota sp.
Lineage: Eukaryota; Fungi; Ascomycota
Description: partial internal transcribed spacer 2
Source: RNAcentral